ACCCCCCUGGGGUGUACGUGAUCAUAAGUAUGAUUUUUGAGCCAACACCUCAAAAACGGGAGCCGCUUCUUGCUGCCUGUUGAGCACACUCGCCCUCGCGAGGAGCCUGAUGGCAGCUAGUGGCGCCCACCUGAAGAUUCAGGUUCAAAAGAUCUUGUGACACGGCUCCCCGGGGUCUGC
This 180-nucleotide non-coding RNA is filed under the name Desulfohalobium retbaense DSM 5692. Its description in RNAcentral is "6S / SsrS RNA". It matches the Rfam family "6S / SsrS RNA". From Rfam's summary of the family: E. coli 6S RNA was the first non coding RNA to be sequenced, but its function was unknown until recently. Lineage: Bacteria; Pseudomonadati; Thermodesulfobacteriota; Desulfovibrionia; Desulfovibrionales; Desulfohalobiaceae. The record is from Rfam by way of RNAcentral.